This 69-nucleotide transfer RNA is filed under the name Ovis aries (sheep). It matches the Rfam family "tRNA". From Rfam's summary of the family: Transfer RNA (tRNA) molecules are approximately 80 nucleotides in length. Their secondary structure includes four short double-helical elements and three loops (D, anti-codon, and T loops). The record is from Rfam by way of RNAcentral. Lineage: Eukaryota; Metazoa; Chordata; Mammalia; Artiodactyla; Bovidae.
CCUGGUGGCUCAGAUGGUAAAGCGUCUGCCUACAAUGCAGGAGACCCAAGUUCAAUCCCUGGGUCAGGU